UUUUGCAGGACAUUUUUUCGACAUAUGUAUAGUAGAACUCUUAUGACAUUUUUAUUGCAUACUAUACUGUGUCAUUUUUAAGACGUGUUCUUGAUGUUUUUGGUCAUCGUCGUUGGUUGAUCAGGAUGUGAGCACUGCAAUUUAACGGGAAUGAUUUAUGCAUGUAUGACUCCAUCAAUUAUUCAUUAAAAAUGUAAAAUUUAGUAACUACAGUAUCAAUGAAUUGCUACUCAACAGUACAUGAUAGUCACUUACUGCAUACUAAUGAAUACCUAACUUUUCAUGGGUGACACCGACUAAAACAAACACACUGAACAAACUGCACCGACUUAAGCCACUCUUGACACCCCAAGAGCCACACAGACAGCAUAAUACUAUAGCACAAUACCCAGGGACAACUAUAAGCUGUUUAUUGAUAGGCUUAGGUGAGGCGACAUGUCAGCAGAUCAAACAAAAGCUCAGAUGAAGUACCUCAGAAAACAGCAGUGACAAACAGCAUUUCUCCAGGCCUAUAGCCAAAGAUUCACUACAUGGCAAUGGGUUGAACACAACAAAAUGACCUGGCUCAAAGACAAGGCUAACAUAUUGCCCGAACAUAAAUCAUGGUUGUGGCUGCUUUUUUUUUUUUUCCUUUUUAAAUGUACCUCUUCACUCUUUUACUCCUGUCUGCACCUGAGACACGGUGGGCAAGGUCAGUCAUUGUUCAAACAUCAAUCGCUCAAAGACUGGCAGCUAAGCCUCACCCUUAUUCUGUCUGACUGGUCCUUCUGACUACACAAAGGUCUGAAAGGUGCAAGACGAUGACAACAAGUGUCCCGUGUUCUUUUAAAUAGCAUCAAUGUGGUCGAUAAUGUGUUUUGUUUUAAAAGCUUCAGCAGUGUUUUCAUAUUCAUAAGAAGUCCAUUUUAUAUUUUGAUGAAAAAACAAAUUGUUCUUGGAACGUGUAGCCGAACAGCGAGGAUGUCUCCUCACACAAUACACACUCAAUUUGCAGAGAAUUACUUAAAAUUGGGCAGCGUUUGACUUAGCAGAAAAUGUAGGACAGACCACAUAGUGGGUGAUGUGUGAAGAGGUCAAUUGCUGGGGAGGCACUGGCUGUUCUGAAAGCCAGAUUUUACUCAAAUUAAACCCUUGAUGAUAAAAAACAUUUUUCUAAACCAUCAAUACAACUCAUGCGAUGCCAAGCCCGGUGACUGAUGGAGACCAGGAAAUAACGCACUUAACAGUGAGCGUGAUACAUUAAAUGCACGUGAGCAUGCAUAAAAAAGAAGAAAAAAAAUGCUUUAUCCUUCUAUGGCUUUGUCAUAUUAAUUCAAGGCGAGUCACACAUGGGAGAGAAUUAGCAUACAGUCCAACUCAUUGCCAAAAACUGCAUUAUAUCGAGUAAAUAAAGUAGGACAAUGCCACUGUCUGAAACUAUUUUGAACUGAAAUAAACCGUACAGGUGGGAAACCUUUUGAGACACAUUUGAAAACAGAUGCAAAUACUGAUGUGCAACCUGACUAAAAUUGCAAAACAAAGUAUUUGAUAUCGUAAUUGGCUUUCCUUUCCAAGGACAACCUCCAAUAAACUCCACAGACAAAGUCAAAAAUCAUUUAGGCCUAGUGGUAGCAGCCAACAUAACAAAACAUCACACAAGUAGCCUAUAGCCAAGGUUUUCUAGGAUCAUUGUAAGGACCUAAGCCAAUGAAUACACCAAUCUAUAUUCAGACAGACACCAUAAGCUUGCUAAACAGUCAGGUAACAAACUAGUUUGCUUGCUAGCCAGACAUAAUUGAUAGAAAACCUAACACAACACAGUAUUACAAACAUAAAGACAAUUUUAAAAAGGGACUUACAAAAAGAAGCCAAUACACCAAUCUAUAUCCAAACAGAUACAUCAUAAGCUAGCUAAACAGACAGGUCGAUAACUAGUUUGCUCGCUAGCCAGACAGACAGAAUUGAUAAAGAACAGGCUUUCCUUUCCAAGGACAACUUCCAAUAAACUCCAUAGACAAAGUCACAAUAAUUAAGGCCUAUUGUUGGCAGCCAACAUAACAAAACAUCACAAAAGUAUCCUACAGCCAAGGUUGUUUGGUCUCAUUAUAAGGACCUAAGCUAUAUACUGGAGCUACACUGGAAUAAGCAUUGGCCUAGUCAUGGCACGGCGGCCAAAACCCAACACAGCAUCACAAAUAAAGAAAAUUAAAAUGACACCAUUUGUAGGUCGUCUACCUGGAAAAGAAGACAAUACAGAAAUGUAUAUUGGACAUUCAUUGGACAUGAAAAGACCCCGUGGCUGCACAACUAAAACUGUUUGUUCCAGAAACAUCCAUGUGAGCUGAAAAUGUUAGGAAAAUAAGAAAAGGAAGGAAGGUAAGUUUUUAGUCUGAGUCAGGGCUGUCAUACAAACACCUCACACACACACACACACACAGUUUGUCAGGUUAGCUAGAUAAGAUUAGGGCUAAGCCUGUGCAGUAAAUGCAUUGGCUAUUUGUGGCAAAAGAAAAACAUCUACAAACUGCUAAAAAAAUAUUCAAAUUUACAAAAAAUAAAUGUUGCUUUAUGGUCAGUCUGAAGGGACCUGAAGAGGUCACAACAAGCACAGACCCACGGCACAUUAGCCAUGAAUCAACAUAAUGUAACACAAACUGGGAAAUAAAAUAGAUUUUUCCAUCUGAAACAAAGCCAAUGUCACUUUGGCAUGAUCAUCCACUUAAAUACAGUGCACAAUGCACGUCAACACAAUUUUUUAAGAGGUCACAACAACCAUUGGUGUACUUAUAGCAAACAAAAUAAAAGUGGUGUGUGUGUGUGUGUGUGUGUGUGUGUGUUUGUGUAGGUCUACCUGAAAAAAAAAAGCCAAUGCCCCAAUCUUGGCCCAAACAGACACAUUUGUAGAUGGAAGUCUUAAUUAGCUAGACAGCAGUUUGGCUUAGCAGCCCCUUAAAUACAGCUGCACCGACACAAGUUUAAGACAUCACAACAAGGCUAAGGCACUGCAGCUGAGACAAUUAAGGACCAGACAUGGCAUGGCAGCCAGCAUGACUCAGACAAAAUGCAAACAAAAAGCAGGGGAUUUUAAAAGAGGCUGCAGACUGGUGCCUCGUAGAAGUCCUUCUGCUUGGCCUUCUCUUUCAUCAGAAGCUUGAUGGCCAGAGUUGAAAAGUCCUCCUCCACAGUCCCAACUGUGUUUUUGAAGAUGAUUCUCUCCACUGGUCAUGAUGUUGAUCUCAGUCCAAAUCACGUUGCUGGUUGAAAGCAGUAAGCACGGAUACCAGGGAAAGCUGAAGCAGUCCUCCUGGAGAUGAUUGAACAGUCUCAAACAUUUUUUCUUUUAAAAUUAAGUGACAAAAACUAUGUGUUCAUUUUCAGGAUAAAAAAAUUUAUUCAGCAGUAAAUUGUCAUGUGAGUUGUUUUUUGCAAAGACGAGUGAACUGCACUUUGUCAUGAAUUGUUUGGUACAUUGGUAAGACUCCAGGUGGACCUUCAUUUCCUGGGAGGAAAAAAAACCUGUGAAUCCUCAUUGAUGAUAGGCUGCACAGGUGGGUGAGGUUAUGCACUCCAGCCAAUAAAGCCCUCACAAACAUUUUAAACAAUGCCCCGCCCACCUGCUGCUCCUAUCAAACACAAGCAUGUCUGUAUGUCCCGCCCCCCAACAUCCUGUUUGAAAACUUCACCUUGAGGAAGUAAUUAAGCUAAUUAAAUAGCACUGCUGGAGGCUUACCUUCAAACUGAAUGGAAAACAUUGACUUACACUCUCACUAUUGAUUUGUGGCAGCAAAUUUAAUCGACUGUUUUUAUUUCAAUACAUGUUAAACAUAACAGUGUAUAAAUGCACAAAACAGUAUAUA
Sebastes umbrosus (honeycomb rockfish) is the source of this 3836-nucleotide long non-coding RNA. RefSeq lists it as uncharacterized. The record is from RefSeq and is a predicted model, not a curated record. The transcript has 3 exons. Lineage: Eukaryota; Metazoa; Chordata; Actinopteri; Perciformes; Sebastidae.